UGGUGACUCUAGAUAACCUCGGGCCGAU
Molecule: non-coding RNA, 28 nt
Filed under: Drosophila melanogaster (fruit fly)
Lineage: Eukaryota; Metazoa; Arthropoda; Insecta; Diptera; Drosophilidae
Also listed under: 4 other names
Source: RNAcentral